UCCUACUUUUACUCUUAUAUAUAACCUGCUGCACUUAUGUCCUUGUUGUUAUUUGGAUGAUACCUGACUGACAAAAACAAUGUGGAACUACAAAACCUAUUCCACAAUUCACACUAGUGUUUAGGAUGAUUUCAACCUUUGGGGAUAAAUAGAGGGAGGGAGGAUUUUUCGGUGUCGCCUGAGGGAUUGAGAAAGAAUGAAGGUUGGAUUAUGGAGAAUUGUUGCAGGUUGUUGAAGAGAAAUUAGGGUUUUGAAAUGGGAUUGAUUUGGGGAAGAAGAGGGUUUUGUUAUGAUAUAUAAUUUUUUUUCUUUUAUAUGUAUUUUUUAAGAAUAGGGUGAAAAGACAAUUUUACCCUCAUAUGCAUUGCACAAGACCAGAUUUGACAGAAAAAUCUAACUAGGUUAGGGCUAAAGGACAAAACGUGUAUGAUUUGAAAACAUAAAGUACAAAACUCGUCAAUUUUAAACAUAAAGGACAGCGCCUGCAAAUAGGUAUAAAGAUAAAGGACAAUCCUUGCAAUUCACUCUUAAUUAUAAUACGUCCCGCUCGCGCUAUGUGGAUAUAAUGUAUAUAUGUGUGAGUCAUUGGGGGGAAAAAGUGAAAGCUGAAGACGGUUAAUUAUACAUCAUGUGGUGGCGUUGAUAGCUGAAAUACAAAAGGAUACAUACACUAAUCGGUCUUUGUCUCGAUUGUUGAGUGUUAUGUGCCUUAUGUCCAAGACUUGAUGCAAAACUACUAUCGUGCCCGAGGUCUCACUGGAAGCAGCAUCUCUAUCCCUACGGGAUAGAGGUAAGGCUGUCUACAUCUUACCCUUCUCAGACCCUCUACCUUUGCUUUACUAUUGGUGGGAUUUACUGAGUAUGAUGAUAUUGAUAUUAAUUAAUUACUAGUCAUUUACCCGCACGAUGCGGCGGGAGUGACGAUUUACAAUAGGAUACUCGUUUACCGUUAAUUUAUCAGUCGUCUCGUGAUAUAUUGUAUAGUACUUAAGUUAGUUUUCUUAUUCGUGAUAUGUUGGCAUUAGUUUUUCGUUUUGGCGUGAUCUAUCUACAAGAAGAAUACAAAACAAGGAAGUAG
This 1078-nucleotide long non-coding RNA is filed under the name Helianthus annuus (common sunflower). RNAcentral describes it as "hypothetical non coding rna". Lineage: Eukaryota; Viridiplantae; Streptophyta; Magnoliopsida; Asterales; Asteraceae. The record is from RNAcentral.